GAUGAAGAACGUAGCGAAAUGCGAUAAGUAGUGUGAAUUGCAGAAUUCAGUGAAUCAUCGAAUCUUUGAACGCACAUUGCGCCCCAUGGUAUUCCGUGGGGCAUGCCUGUUCGAGCGUCAUUUACCCCCUCAAGCUCCGCUUGGUGUUGGGCGUCUGUCCCGCUUCGCGCGCGGACUCGCCCCAAAGGUAUUGGCAGCGGUCGUGCCAGCUUCUCGCGCAGCACAUUGCGCUUCUCGAGGCACCGGUGGGCCCGCGUCCAUCAAGCUCACCCCCCCAGAUUGACCUCGGAUCAGGUAGGGAUACCCGCUGAACUUAAGCAUAUCAGUAAGCGGAGGA
This 337-nucleotide unclassified non-coding RNA is filed under the name soil metagenome. RNAcentral describes it as "partial contains 5.8S ribosomal RNA, internal transcribed spacer 2, and large subunit ribosomal RNA". The stretch from base 1 to 120 matches the Rfam family "5.8S ribosomal RNA", at positions 35 to 154 of the family's 154-position model. The record is from RNAcentral.